ACCUGCGUAGCUCAGUUGGUAGAGCGUUCGACUUUUAAAAAAGGUACUGUUGAGGUCAUCGAAAUGUCCAGGGUUCGAGCCCCUGCGUGGGUG
Molecule: transfer RNA, 93 nt
Organism: Nadsonia fulvescens var. elongata DSM 6958
Lineage: Eukaryota; Fungi; Ascomycota; Dipodascomycetes; Dipodascales
Rfam family: tRNA
About the family: Transfer RNA (tRNA) molecules are approximately 80 nucleotides in length. Their secondary structure includes four short double-helical elements and three loops (D, anti-codon, and T loops). Further hydrogen bonds mediate the characteristic L-shaped molecular structure. tRNAs have two regions of fundamental functional importance: the anti-codon, which is responsible for specific mRNA codon recognition, and the 3' end, to which the tRNAs corresponding amino acid is attached (by aminoacyl-tRNA synthetases). tRNAs cope with the degeneracy of the genetic code in two manners: having more than one tRNA (with a specific anti-codon) for a particular amino acid; and 'wobble' base-pairing, i.e. permitting non-standard base-pairing at the 3rd anti-codon position.
Source: Rfam